This 259-nucleotide ribosomal RNA is filed under the name uncultured bacterium. Its description in RNAcentral is "partial 16S ribosomal RNA". It matches the Rfam family "Bacterial small subunit ribosomal RNA", at positions 524 to 776 of the family's 1533-position model. The record is from RNAcentral.
CACGUAGGGUGCGAGCGUUGUCCGGAAUUAUUGGGCGUAAAGAGCUCGUAGGCGGUGUGUCGCGUCGGCCGUGAAAACCUGCAGCUUAACUGUGGGCUUGCGGUCGAUACGGGCAUCACUGGAGUUCGGCAGGGGAGACUGGAAUUCCUGGUGUAGCGGUGAAAUGCGCAGAUAUCAGGAAGAACACCAAUGGCGGAAGGCAGCUCUCUGGGACGGUACUGACGACUGGAGACGCGGAAAGCGAUGGGGAGCGAACAGG